RNAcentral lists this ribosomal RNA (768 nucleotides) under Micromonospora endophytica. RNAcentral describes it as "bacterial SSU rRNA". It matches the Rfam family "Bacterial small subunit ribosomal RNA", at positions 74 to 843 of the family's 1533-position model. Lineage: Bacteria; Bacillati; Actinomycetota; Actinomycetes; Micromonosporales; Micromonosporaceae. The record is from RNAcentral.
GGCCCUUCGGGGUACACGAGCGGCGAACGGGUGAGUAACACGUGGGUGACCUGCCCUCCACUCUGGGAUAAGCCUGGGAAACCGGGUCUAAUACCGGAUAGGACUCCUGGAUGCAUGUCUAGGGGUGGAAAGUUUUUUCGGUGGGGGAUGGGCCCGCGGUCUAUCAGCUUGUUGGUGGGGUGAUGGCCUACCAAGGCGACGACGGAUAGCCGGCCUGAGAGGGUGAUCGGCCACACUGGGACUGAGACACGGCCCAGACUCCUACGGGAGGCAGCAGUGGGGAAUCUUGCGCAAUGGGCGGAAGCCUGACGCAGCAACGCCGCGUGGGGGAUGACGGCCUUCGGGUUGUAAACCUCUUUCGCGAUCGACGAAGGUCCACUUUUUGGUGGGCUGACGGUAGGUCGAGAAGAAGCACCGGCCAACUACGUGCCAGCAGCCGCGGUAAUACGUAGGGUGCGAGCGUUGUCCGGAAUUAUUGGGCGUAAAGAGCUCGUAGGCGGUGUGUCGCGUCGGCCGUGAAAACCUGGGGCUCAACUCUGGGCGUGCGGUCGAUACGGGCAUCACUUGAGUUCGGCAGGGGAGACUGGAAUUCCUGGUGUAGCGGUGAAAUGCGCAGAUAUCAGGAGGAACACCGGUGGCGAAGGCGGGUCUCUGGGCCGAUACUGACGCUGAGGAGCGAAAGCAUGGGUAGCGAACAGGAUUAGAUACCCUGGUAGUCCAUGCCGUAAACGUUGGGCGCUAGGUGUGGGGUCCAUUCCACGGGUUCCG